Molecule: ribosomal RNA, 453 nt
Filed under: uncultured Sphingobacteriales bacterium
Lineage: Bacteria; Pseudomonadati; Bacteroidota; Sphingobacteriia; Sphingobacteriales
Description: bacterial SSU rRNA
Rfam family: Bacterial small subunit ribosomal RNA
Source: RNAcentral
ACAAGCGGAGGAACAUGUGGUUAAUUCGAUGAUACGCGAGGAACCUUACCUGGGCUUAAAUGGGGAGUGACAGCUGUCGAAAGAUGGUUUUCUUCGGACACUCUUCAAGGUGCUGCAUGGUUGUCGUCAGCUCGUGCCGUGAGGUGUCGGGUUAAGUCCCAUAACGAGCGCAACCCUUACCGUUAGUUACCAUCAGGUUAAGCUGGGGACUCUAGCGGGACUGCCACCGUAAGGUGAGAGGAAGUGGGGAUGACGUCAAAUCAGCACGGCCCUUAUGUCCAGGGCUACACACGUGUUACAAUGGCCGGUACAAAGGGCAGCUACUUCGCGAGAAGAUGCUAAUCUCGAAAGCCGGUCUCAGUUCGGAUCGAAGUCUGCAACCCGACUUCGUGAAGCUGGAUUCGCUAGUAAUCGCGCAUCAGCCAUGGCGCGGUGAAUACGUUCCCGGGCCUU